This 1427-nucleotide ribosomal RNA is filed under the name uncultured organism. RNAcentral's name for it is "SSU rRNA". It matches the Rfam family "Bacterial small subunit ribosomal RNA". The record is from RNAcentral.
GCUAUCGACAGGCUUAACACAUGCAAGUCGAGGGGCAGCACAGGUAGCAAUACCGGGUGGCGACCGGCGCACGGGUGAGUAACGCGUAUGCAACUUGCCUAUCAGAGGGGGAUAACCCGGCGAAAGUCGGACUAAUACCGCAUGAAGCAGGGAUCCCGCAUGGGAAUAUUUGCUAAAGAUUCAUCGCUGAUAGAUAGGCAUGCGUUCCAUUAGGCAGUUGGCGGGGUAACGGCCCACCAAACCGACGAUGGAUAGGGGUUCUGAGAGGAAGGUCCCCCACAUUGGUACUGAGACACGGACCAAACUCCUACGGGAGGCAGCAGUGAGGAAUAUUGGUCAAUGGCCGAGAGGCUGAACCAGCCAAGUCGCGUGAGGGAUGAAGGUUCUAUGGAUCGUAAACCUCUUUUAUAAGGGAAUAAAGUGCGGGACGUGUCCCGUUUUGUAUGUACCUUAUGAAUAAGGAUCGGCUAACUCCGUGCCAGCAGCCGCGGUAAUACGGAGGAUCCGAGCGUUAUCCGGAUUUAUUGGGUUUAAAGGGUGCGUAGGCGGCCUUUUAAGUCAGCGGUGAAAGUCUGUGGCUCAACCAUAGAAUUGCCGUUGAAACUGGGGGGCUUGAGUAUGUUUGAGGCAGGCGGAAUGCGUGGUGUAGCGGUGAAAUGCUUAGAUAUCACGCAGAACCCCGAUUGCGAAGGCAGCCUGCCAAGCCAUUACUGACGCUGAUGCACGAAAGCGUGGGGAUCAAACAGGAUUAGAUACCCUGGUAGUCCACGCAGUAAACGAUGAUCACUAGCUGUUUGCGAUACAUUGUAAGCGGCACAGCGAAAGCGUUAAGUGAUCCACCUGGGGAGUACGCCGGCAACGGUGAAACUCAAAGGAAUUGACGGGGGCCCGCACAAGCGGAGGAACAUGUGGUUUAAUUCGAUGAUACGCGAGGAACCUUACCCGGGUUUGAACGCAUUCGGACCGAGGUGGAAACACCUUUUCUAGCAAUAGCCGUUUGCGAGGUGCUGCAUGGUUGUCGUCAGCUCGUGCCGUGAGGUGUCGGCUUAAGUGCCAUAACGAGCGCAACCCUUGCCACUAGUUACUAACAGGUGAUGCUGAGGACUCUGGUGGGACUGCCAGCGUAAGCUGCGAGGAAGGCGGGGAUGACGUCAAAUCAGCACGGCCCUUACAUCCGGGGCGACACACGUGUUACAAUGGCGUGGACAAAGGGAGGCCACCUGGCGACAGGGAGCGAAUCCCCAAACCACGUCUCAGUUCGGAUCGGAGUCUGCAACCCGACUCCGUGAAGCUGGAUUCGCUAGUAAUCGCGCAUCAGCCAUGGCGCGGUGAAUACGUUCCCGGGCCUUGUACACACCGCCCGUCAAGCCAUGGGAGCCGGGGGUACCUGAAGUCCGUAACCGCGAGGAUCGGCCUAGGGUAAAACU